CUUAGCGGCGGACGGGUGAGUAACGCGUGGGUAACCUGCCUUACACUGGGGGAGUAACAGUUAGAAAUGACUGCUAAUACCGCAUAAGCGCACAGGGCCGCAUGGUCUGGUGUGAAAAACUCCGGUGGUGUGAGAUGGACCCGCGUCUGAUUAGCCAGUUGGCGGGGUAACGGCCCACCAAAGCGACGAUCAGUAGCCGGCCUGAGAGGGUGAACGGCCACAUUGGGACUGAGACACGGCCCAAACUCCUACGGGAGGCAGCAUG
Molecule: ribosomal RNA, 265 nt
Filed under: uncultured bacterium
Lineage: Bacteria
Description: partial 16S ribosomal RNA
Rfam family: Bacterial small subunit ribosomal RNA
Source: RNAcentral